Molecule: ribosomal RNA, 526 nt
Filed under: Pseudomonas sp. NZWM5
Lineage: Bacteria; Pseudomonadati; Pseudomonadota; Gammaproteobacteria; Pseudomonadales; Pseudomonadaceae
Description: bacterial SSU rRNA
Rfam family: Bacterial small subunit ribosomal RNA
Source: RNAcentral
AGAGUUUGAUCCUGGCUCAGAUUGAACGCUGGCGGCAGGCCUAACACAUGCAAGUCGAGCGGCAGCACGGGUACUUGUACCUGGUGGCGAAGCGGCGGACGGGUGAGUAAUGCCUAGGAAUCUGCCUGGUAGUGGGGGAUAACGUUCGGAAACGAACGCUAAUACCGCAUACGUCCUACGGGAGAAAGCAGGGGACCUUCGGGCCUUGCGCUAUCAGAUGAGCCUAGGUCGGAUUAGCUAGUUGGUGAGGUAAUGGCUCACCAAGGCGACGAUCCGUAACUGGUCUGAGAGGAUGAUCAGUCACACUGGAACUGAGACACGGUCCAGACUCCUACGGGAGGCAGCAGUGGGGAAUAUUGGACAAUGGGCGAAAGCCUGAUCCAGCCAUGCCGCGUGUGUGAAGAAGGUCUUCGGAUUGUAAAGCACUUUAAGUUGGGAGGAAGGGCAGUUACCUAAUACGUAAUUGUUUURACGUWACCGACAGAAUAAGCACCGGCUAACUCUGUGCCAGCAGCCGCGGUAAUAC